RNAcentral lists this long non-coding RNA (4148 nucleotides) under Phoenix dactylifera (date palm). RNAcentral describes it as "long non-coding RNA (PDAC_LNC002713)". The record is from RNAcentral. Lineage: Eukaryota; Viridiplantae; Streptophyta; Magnoliopsida; Arecales; Arecaceae.
AGCUUUCAAGCCCAGCACAAAAUCUUGAAGGGAAUCAGGAGUUGUUCCAAUGGUCACACCUCUCUGCUAAGCAACCAGAUGUUUCAGGUUUGAAUCUUCAGUGGUGCAUCGUCAGGUAUUUGGACUUGGAUAUUUAAAGUGCUGAUGGGUCUGCCCCACAUUCGUGCCAAAAAAAAAAACUAUAUCUAGAAAAUUUUUUAUCAAGCCUGUCAAGUUAUAAAGCAAUCGGUCCAACAAAUUAUUCAUUGGAUAUAUAAAUAUGUACAUAUUUUCUCUCAAAAAAAUUAAGUUUGCACAUAUUCAUAACACAUCUUUGUAAUAUGGACGUGUCGCCAUAUCUGAACACUUGACACUAGUGUCAUGUUUCCAGGUAACAUUGCCAUGAGACCAAGAAGGUAAAACACUAAACAGCAAGGUGGAUCAAUCCAAUUUGACAUUUACAUUCAUUGCAACUCAGGAGCAACCUCCAGGAGUCUCCUGGACUUGGAACGAGUGUAGAUAAGAGGGCAAGGUCUGAUAAUGUGAAUGCAUAAAUUGGAAGACAGUUAAUUAAACUACAGGCUCUGUAAUUCCAACAGACAAAUAUUGUGAGUAGGAUGUGGGAUUAAACACAUGCCCGCACCAUCCUCACAUACUUUCCUUGUUCAAGUUUUGAUGUCCUCAUCAGAUUAAGGGUUUAAAUCCAUUCAAAUCUAAUCACAAACACCACGGUCGGUUCGUGGUCAGCCCCAAUGGAUUCGUGCUGCAGUGUCCCCGAGUCCACAUAGGUUAUGGGCUGAGUCCGCUCUGAUACUGUUUGUCACAACCUAGGAUCUUACCCAAAAUGGCUAGUCGGAAGGUAUUAUUUAGGUUCACUCAAGAUCUACCCAACAAAUAACUGAUGUGGGAUUAAACACACGCCCACACGAGUCUGCACACUAUGAAUACACAACAUUUGAUUAAUCCUUUAAAAUAUAGAAAAGGUGGGCCAGACUACUAGCAUUGCCAUGACACUUCCACUGCAAUCAUAGAAAAAGAAACCUGACCUACCACAAAUGGUCUGAUGAAAGUAGAAGGUCUUUAGCAAUAAUUCAGAUGCAUGUGAGAACCUUUUAUUUGUUUAUGCACAUCGUACAUCUUAUGGGAUAUAUAUGCUAGCAAAAUGGUUGGUUUAUGAGUCCCAAUCAAAUUGUAGGGAUUUGAAUCCAAAACUAGCAAAUGUUUGACAUCAAGAACUACUGAAACAGAGGUACAAAUUUUCCCUCUGCCCAUCUCCCAUUCAAAGUAAAUACUAGAAGGGCUCGUUUGGUUUGCGGGAAAAGGAGGGAAAGUGUGGUCAACGGGAAAGUAAUGAAAUGCCUCUUGUUUGGUUGGAGUUUUCAAAGGAGAGAGAUGGAAAAGUAACAUUCCCAUGAGAAUAUGAUUCCCACAUUUCAUGGAAAAAGUCUUUCCCAUGAGAAACAUGGGAAAGUUACUUUCCUAUGAGCCAGGAAUCACUCCAUAUUAUUUUUUUUUCUAAAAAGGCCCUUCAGCAUUAAAGAGGCAUUUAAGACCUAAUUUUUAUUAAGAGUAUAAUAGGAAUUACACAUAACUUUUUCAGAAAAGUGGAUGAUCAACCAAACAUGCCAAAAGUAUUUUUCUAGGCAUUCUCUUUUUAGAAAUCUACUUCCCAGGAAUCAUAUUCCUAAGAGCGAAAAUGCUUCCCGCGAACCAAACGAGCCCGAAAAGGCAUCUAUUUACUGGAUCCACACUGGUUUUUUGUUUAAGCUUUGGAUCAUCAUUCCUAAUGUCAACUGUUCAUGUUUUUUGCAUCAUAUCAAGAUUGUUUGGCCUUCACCAUCUAUUUACACUUCCUCAGGAAAUCCUAAUCGACCCCAUCAUUAGUUGCCCUACAAUCUGCCCAGAAUAAUGAUUCUAUCCUAAUUUUCUUUAAAGUGAGGAGGAAAUGGUUUAGCCCAGAAUAAUGAUUCUAUCCUAAUUAUCUCUUAUGCCAUAGUUUUUCUAUGAUCUAUGGCACCAUUUUCUUGAUUGACUGUUUAGCCCCAAUAUAAGGCUCCUUUUAGUCAGAACUUUCUUGGUGAUGUCUCGUUUUCCUACUUGUUGAAAUAUACAGGCGUGCAUCUUGGCAAAGCAUGAGGCCGGUCAGUCCUCAAGUGAGAUAGUGUGUCUGCUCCCUCUAAUCUUAUAUAUAAGGGCAUUUGUUCAUGUAUUGAAUACGCCUUUUUGCAUGUAUAGAGUUGUAAACUUGCAAUUUAUAUGUACAACUAAGCAAUGACAUUGGUUUAACUAUAAUUCAGUGGGGUUAAAAGACAACUCAGCCUACAAAAUUAUGACUAGCUCAUCUUUGACAUUAGUAGCUAUGAUAUUUCAAAGAAAAUUUAAGCAAAUGUGCAAGGCUAAUUUAGACUUCUUGCUGCUAAACAGACAUCCUUCUAUUCCUAAACAGCUUAUCAGCCAGAAAGUGUGUACACCAAAAAGCUAUUUGCAUAAGUAUACUUGAAAAUAAAAAUUAUGAGGUUAAAUAGCUUAAAAAACCAUUCCUCAGUUUCAACACAUCAGAGAUGGUGGAUUAAUAUGGCAAGCUCCAGAGAUAAGCUUUCCUGGAUAUUUUAUAUGCCACCACCUAUUCUGCAAGCAGUGUGGAAGAACUACAGUGCUUCCAUAAUCCAUACGGCAUUUCAGUUGUCUUCACAACUCAAAGAAGCUCUCUUCUCAGACAUAACCUGCCUAUGCAGCCUGGGCCAUAGAGAGUCCAAUAUGCAUAUUACUCAUCCAAACAUCUCAGCUGGCUUAAGCAUUUUUGGAAAAUGUUUUGUAAAAUUAUUUUAAUACGCAGAUUCAUAACCAAUAUCUAGAAAAGAAGAAAGCUUCGGUUCAAAUAUUAUUAUAGUGGAUCAAACUAAUAGUUGGAGUCGACUCUCAAAACACUUCGGAAAAUGAAAAUUGAUAAAUUUUGAUAACUGUUCAAGUGUCCGACAUGUAUCUAACUAAUAUGUAUCCGACAUAGAUUCUAGGAGCUAGAUGCGAGUGUCCAAAGUAACACGGCGUGCAAUUUAGCUACUUACCACAUUUUACAGAUGGAAGAAUGAAGGCCAGAAUCCAUAGAAAUCAUCAACUCUGUCACCUAGUAUUGCCUCUCAAAACUCGUCGUUCGCUUCUCCCAAACUCCUCUCUCUCUCUAUUUCUUUGAAACCCUAGCAUUCGGUCUUCCCAUUUUUCCAAGAAAUUCUCAACCCAUUGAAAGAGAAAUCCUUUUUCUUGAUCUGAUCUGGGGCUCAAAGAAUCCCAAGAUGACACUGGGUCUCCAGAGAUGGGGGAUUCGGAUGUCCAAAAUUUGGAGGGCAGUGCGAUGGUGAGGAAGAUGAGGAGUCUCGUGAUGGAGGAAUGGAUGAGCAGUAUCCCUGAGCCAGGCUCAGGACGGGUGAAGCAUCCAGGCUCAGGAAGGGAGGCUCCGAGAAAACAGUUCAAGUCAAAAAUAUUUUCCAUCCACAUAAUAAGUUUGCCUCAUACAAAAGGAUCCAUGUUUACCGAGACCCCUUUUUAAUCUCAUUUCCAAAAUCGACAACAGGUCCAGAAUCAUAGAUAUCAAUUGAGGAAAGCUAUAAUUUUAGCCAAAAAAAACCUCUUUUUAAUCCAGUAAUGUCUGUAAAGAAACUGUAAUAAUUAUUCUAAAAUUCUUAUGUCCUCCAUCUAAUUUGUUUUCCUAAACAGUUUCCAAAGCCCUUAUCACCAACCAAAAGAAACAUAGCUAUUAAUGAUUCCAAUGAAUGAAUAAAAUUUAAUAAAAUAAAUCAAAUCUCUGUGCUUUGGCCUUUGGAGUCUAAUGAAGGAUAGAUUAGUUUGCGAAUCUAUCUACAAACAGCGAGGUGAAUAAUGAAUUCGAUUGGGAACAAAAGGAGGGCACACAAAUUAAUGAGAUUAAGCAUGAACAGACGAAGACCCCGCGAAUUAGAGAGGAUACCAUGCGGCGGAGUUGUUCUUGAGGGAUCCCGGAGACGAUCCCAAUCUCCCUGGUCUUGAGCUCGACAAGGGGCAUCAGAAGCGAGCAAUCUCGACUGCGAGAGUUGAGAGGUGCGGGCGAGGAGGAAGCGAGCUAUGGAGAGGUUUUUUCGUUGCAGCGCCGGAAAGAAGGCGGAUGGGAGUCUUCGCCGUCUUCCCGGAGCUGAGCG